GUUAAAAAGCUCGUAGUUGAAUUUCGGGACUGAUAUGUCGGUCGUGCCUCGGUACGUACUGGUAUUUUUGGUUUCUCCCUUCUGACGAACCUUGAUGUCAUUAAUUUGGUGUCUUGGGAAAUCAGGACUGUUACUUUGAAAAAAUUAGAGGGUUUAAAGCAGGCUCACGCUUGAAUACAUUAGCAUGGAAUAAUGAAAUAGGACGUUUGAUUCUAUUUUGUUGGUUUCUAGGAUCGACGUAAUGAUUAAUAGUGAUAGUUGGGGGCAUUAGUAUUCAAUUGUCAGAGGUGAAAUUCUUGGAUUUAUUGAAGACUAACUACUGCGAAAGCAUUUGCCAAGGAUGUUUUCAUUAAUCAAGAACGAAAGUUAGGGGAUCGAAGACGAUCAGAUACCGUCGUAGUCUUAACCAUAAACU
Molecule: ribosomal RNA, 415 nt
Filed under: uncultured Glomus
Lineage: Eukaryota; Fungi; Glomeromycota; Glomeromycetes; Glomerales; Glomeraceae
Description: SSU rRNA
Rfam family: Eukaryotic small subunit ribosomal RNA
Source: RNAcentral